Molecule: ribosomal RNA, 439 nt
Filed under: uncultured bacterium
Lineage: Bacteria
Description: partial 16S ribosomal RNA
Rfam family: Bacterial small subunit ribosomal RNA
Source: RNAcentral
CUACGGGUGGCACUAGUGGGGAAUUUUGCGCAAUGGGGGAAACCCUGACGCAGCAAUACCGCGUGAGUGAAGAAGGCCUUUGGGUCGUAAAGCUCUUUUCUUGGGGAAGAUAGUGACGGUACCCAAGGAAUAAGCACCGGCUAACUCCGUGCCAGCAGCCGCGGUAAUACGGAGGGUGCAAGCGUUGUUCGGAUUUACUGGGCGUAAAGGGCACGUAGGCGGCACAGCAAGUUAAGGGUGAAAUCCCGGGGCUCAACUCCGGAACUGCCCUUAAAACUGCUGAGCUAGAGAUAGUCAGAGGCGGGUGGAAUUCCAGGUGUAGAGGUGAAAUUCGUAGAUAUCUGGAGGAACACCGGUGGCGAAGGCGGCCCGCUGGGGCUAUUCUGACGCUAAGGUGCGAAAGCGUGGGGAGCAAACGGGAUUAGAUACCCCCGUAGUC